This is a long non-coding RNA of Panthera uncia (snow leopard), 4942 nucleotides long. RefSeq lists it as uncharacterized. The transcript is spliced from 2 exons. The record is from RefSeq and is a predicted model, not a curated record. NCBI's taxonomy places the organism in Eukaryota, Metazoa, Chordata, Mammalia, Carnivora, Felidae.
AUAUAUAUAUAUAUACACUGUAGAAUAAUAUGUAGUUUUCAAUUUUAUAUUUAAAUGUAUGAUUACUCUUGACUAAAAUUUUGCAUAUGCGUCACAUAUGGAUUGUUUAGUACUGCUAGUUUCCUUAAGUAAUGCCUUAGUGACAUUUCACAAAUAUUGAUAUGUUGUAUUUUAAUUUUCAUUUCAUUCAACAUCUUUGUUAUUUCCCCUUUGAGUUUUUCUUUGACCCAUAGGUUUAGAAGUAUUUGAUAUCCAAAUGUUGGGCUUUUCCAGAUAUCCUUCAGUUACCAUUUUCUAAUAUCAUUCCAUUGUGGUCAGAAAGCAUACUUUUAAUGCCUUGGAUCUCUUUAAAUUUAUUGAGAGUUGAUUUGUGGUCUAGAAUGUGGUCUUUCUUGGUAAACGUUCUGUGUGCACAUGAGAAGAAAGUGUAUUCUGCUGUUGUUCAUUGAAGUUUUUUAUAAACGUCAGGUUACAUAUGUUGAUAGUGUUACCCAACUCUAAUGUAUCCUUGAUUUUCUAUUUAUUCUCUUAGUUAUUAACAAAGAAGUAUAGCUUAUCUCUGAGAAUAAUUAUGGAUUUGCUUAUUUCACCUUGGUAUUUAUCAGUUUUGAUGUAUUUUUGAAGCUCUCUCAAUAGGUACCUAAAUGUUUCUAGUGUAUGUCCUCAUGGUAAAAUGACUGUUUUAUGACCAAGAAAUUAUCUUUAUCCUUGGUAAUAUUUUUGACUUGAAAUCUACUUUGUCAGAUAUUCAUAUAGUCACUCUAGCAUUCUUUUGACUAAUGUCAGUAUGGUAUGUGGUUGUUUUUUUUUUCCAUUCUUUUCCUUUAAAACUAUUUGUUUCUUGGGGCACCUGGGUGGGUCAGUCGGUUAAGUAUCUGACUUCAGCUCAGGUCAUGAUCUUGCAGUUUGUGAGUUCAAGCCCCACGUUGGGCUCUUUGCUGACAGCUCAGAGCCUGGGACCUGCGUCAGAUUCGUUGUCUCCCUCUCUCUCUCUGCCCCUCCUCUGCUCGUGCUCUGUCUCUCCCAAAAAUAAAUAAACAACAAAAAAAAUUUUUUUUAAAUAUUUGUUUCUUUAUAUUUAAAGUGCAUUUUUGGACAUACAGUAUAGUUGGGCUGGCCUUUUUUUCUAUUCUGAUAAUCUUUGCCUUUUAGUUGAGGGUGUUUAGACCAUUUACAUUUAAUGUGACUAAUGAUCUGGUUAGGUUUAAAUUCACCAUCUUUCUGUUUUCUGUUUGUCUUGUCUGCUUUUUGUUUCCUUCCUCCUGUGCCAUCUUUUGAAUUGAGUAUUUUUAUGGUUCAGUUUUAUCUCUUAGGUUUGUAUAUCAGCUGUAACUCUUUGUUUUAGAGAUUGCUUUAACUUUCUGUAGUCUACCAUGUACUAAUGUUGUACAUGUAGUAUAAUUACCUUAGAAUAUUGUACUUCCAUUUCUCCCCUUUUGGCCUUUGUGCUUUUAUUUUCUUAUAUAAAAUAAGAAUAAGAAUGAUUUUUUUCUUCUAUGUAUGUUGUAAACUAAACACUGCAUAGUAAUUAAUUUUUUUAAAAGUUACCUUUUAAAGAGAUUUAAACAUUUUUUUUUAAAUGUCAUGUGUUUUUUCACAUUGUUACCAUUCUCCCUUCUCUUAUUCUUUUGUUGUACAUCCAGAUUUCCAUAAAAUCUGACCACUAUAUCUGUCUUGGCUGAAAUUAGAAGUCCCAGUGUUUCCACUCUUUGCUUUAAGGAUUUAUGAUUUACAAUUUAAUGGUUGGGCUUCAGUCAGUACUUUUAGAUGCCCUAACUACAUGCUUUUUAGGGUGUUUUUUUUUCAAUAAUAUUUACAUCACACAUUUAAAGAUAGUUUUCAUUCUUUAAAGAUAGUAUAAAUGAGUUAGACUUAUUCCUAGAUAUACAUAUUCAUCUGCUGCUUUCAGUAUUUCAAUAUUGAAGUUUUUUAGUAUCUUGUAGUUAACUCUAAGUUCAGCUAGCUCUUAAUAUUCUAACAUAAGACCAAUGUGUCACUUCACCUUCAAAAUAACAUGCUUGUUAUUUUCCUUUUCCUCUCCCCUUGUCAUAUGCAGAAAAAUAAUCCUAUUUGAAUAAUCCUAAUGAAUGUACUCUUAGUGAUCAUUUAAGUCCUUUUGAUAAGUUGGCAUUUCUAGUAGAAAUUAAUAAUAGUUUAUUAUACAAAGUGCAGUUUUAUAUAUUUAGGAUUCCCCUUAGUAAUUCAGAUGAUUGUAUCUUAAAUGACUUAAAGGCACUUUAGGGCAAUUAGGUGGGUGAAAAUUUCUGUUUACAAAAGAGAUCUAUUUAGGGAAAUAGAACUUAAAAUUUUUGUUUAAAUGGUUUCUUUUAUAGAGUUAUUUUAAAAUAAAUUUUUUCAGGGGGCCUGGGUGACUCAAUUGGUUAAGGUCAAGAUCUCAUGGUGUACAGGAUUGAGCCCCUCGCUGAGCUCUAUGCUGAGAGGACAGAGCCUGCUUGGGAUUCUCUCUCUCCCGCUCUGCCCUUCCCCGACUUGCACACGUUCUCUCUCUUUCAAAAUAAAUAAGUGAAGUUAAAAAAAAAUUUUUUUAAAUAAGCUUUUUCUAAGCUUUGAAUAAUCCAGGUAAUGAGGAAUCUCUAAUGACUGAGCGAGUAUGUCAAGUCACUAAAAACACCAACAAUCUGUGGGUUCUGGGGAGAGUGGUGGUAUAAAACUAUAGUUCUAUAAAAACUGUAAAACUAUAGUUCUGUAAAACUGUAAAACUGUAGUUCUGUAAAACUAUAGUUCAUAUAUCUUUCUCGUUGGUAGUGUGUGAAAAAAUCUUCUUUACCUCUGUUGCUGGUAGUCAUUUCCUGUUUUGGGGGAAGGGGAUGGUGAGGGAGAUGCAUUAAAUCAUUAAGAGACAGUUGAGGAGUAAGUUUUGUUGGGACAGCCCGCUUCUGGCAGGACAUCAUAAGGAUCUUUGCAGACCCACUUCCCAGUGAAACUGGCAAAAAUUACUUGUUUUGAUAGCAGUCAUUUAAAGUCUGAAAAUGGUCCUAAGGGUCUACAACAAAUGAAGAAAGAAAAUCUGCUAAAACUUGGGAAGAACAGCCCAAGUCUGUGGUAUUUGAACCAAGACUUGCUUCCUCUCUCCCCUUUUCUAACUCAACAAGAUGGAACCUGCACUCCACACUGGUGCAGCCAAGAACACGGGAUUCCCUCUCUCCUCACCACCUAGUUGGAGGGCACCUUCCUGAGAGGAGCAGAUGUCAGGAUUUCUCAUUCUGCCCAGCUGCAUGUUGCUGAGGCUACAUGUUCUGGGCAUGUGGGCCUGAGAGGCAGGGGCUUACUUCUGCUAUCCCACUCAUGGCACAGAAACGCUGCUUGUACACAGUGCCACUGAGAAUUACUCAUGUCUCAGCUCUUCAGGUAGCAGUUCCACACUGGGAGAAAGAUGCAAGUUCCCUCCACGCUACCAAGCAUUUUGGUCUCAAAGUUAGGUUGUCAUUCUAUAGUGAGCCACUAUCCCUGCUCUCAGACCCAUGGCUCAGAGAGUUAUACAAUAGAGAGUUCCGCAUCUCUUUCCAAAGUAACUAACUUGAUUUGUAACAAUAUGUGGAAAAUAUCAAGCCUACGGAUAUUCUCAGAAACAGUGGAGGUUGUGAAGGCAAUGAGGAAGAGUUUGGUAGAUGCAUUGGAGGUAAAUAAAGGAUAUUUUGGCUAGCUUGCUGGAGGGAACCAGGGAAAUACUGAGCUUGAAGGAAACCUCCUAGGGUCAGAAUAAAUCGCAAAUGUUGAGCUCCCUCCAAAGGAACUGAGAUUUGUGUGGAGCAGUUUAUGCUUCAGCAUCGUUGAAAACAAUAGAGCAAUGAGCUGACAAGUAGUGCUGCUUAAAAGCUGGGUUUUGUAAGGGAAAGAGACAGGGAGCCCUGCCAAAACUGGUAUCAUUUCAUGGUAACUUUGGGAAUACCCAAGACUGUGCCUCCUGAUGAGGAACACCAGGGGCUUCACACUGAGGAAAGAUGAGGGAAUAGACUUCACUGAAAUGAUUUAAGCAAUGAGUUAAUACAGUAAACAAAUAAAUAACAAUAACAAACCCCAGAGGGAGGCAACCAGUAUCCAGAGUCGGUACAGUACAGAAUCUAAAAUGUCCAGUUCCAACAGUAUUAGAAGACAUGGAAAGAAACAGGAAAUUAUGACCUCUAUACCAGAAAAAAGGGCAGGCAACAGAGACUGCCGAUUGAGUUGGUCAGAUGUGAGAUUUAACAAAGAUUUCAGAUUAGCUAUUAUAAAUAUAUUUGGAGAACUAAAGAAACCAGGGCUAAAGAAGUAAGGGAAAGUAUGAUGACAGUUUCUAUCAAAUAGAGAAUGUCAAUUAAGAGAAAUUAUAAAAAACUAGUUGGAAAUUCUGAGUUUGAAAAGUAUGAAAUGAAAAAUUCACUAGAGGGGCUCAAUGAUAGACUUGAAUUGGCAGAAGAAACAGCAAAUUUGUAGUUAGAUUGAUAGAGAUUAUGCAUUCUGAAGAACAAAAAAGAGUGAAGAAUAAUGAGUGAAGAAUAAUGAACAGAAUCUCAGAGAAAUGUAGGAUACCAUUAACUGUACUAGCAUAUAUGUAAUGGAAAUACCAAGGGAAGGAAAGAGCGUACUUUAAGAAACAGUGGGUGAAACUUCCCAAAUUAAUUGAAAAACAUUCAUCUGCAUAUUUUGGAACCUUAGUGAACUCCAAGUAGGAUAAAUUGCAAGAGAUUCACACACACACCUCAAAAUAAAAAUGCUGAAAGUCAAAGAAAAGGAGAAAAUCUUGAAAGCAGGAAAAGCAACUCAUCACUUACAAGGGAACCCCCAGUAAAAUUAAUAGUUAAUUUCUUAUCAGACAGAGGGCAUAAUACAGUGGGAUAAACACAAUCAGAAGUGCUGAAAGAGAAAAAAUUGCCAACCUGGGUGCCUGGGUGGCUCAGUCAUGACCUGAAAUCAUGGGUCAGAUGCUUAACCGAGCUGCCUU